Molecule: ribosomal RNA, 225 nt
Filed under: uncultured Paludibacter sp.
Lineage: Bacteria; Pseudomonadati; Bacteroidota; Bacteroidia; Bacteroidales; Paludibacteraceae
Description: partial 16S ribosomal RNA
Rfam family: Bacterial small subunit ribosomal RNA
Source: RNAcentral
UGCGUAGGCGGGACUUUAAGUCAGUGGUGAAAGUUUGCGGCUCAACCGUAAAAUUGCCAUUGAAACUGAAGUUCUUGAUUGCAGUAGAGGUAGGCGGAAUGUGUAGUGUAGCGGUGAAAUGCUUAGAUAUUACACAGAACACCAAUUGCGAAGGCAGCUUACUGGAGUGUAAAUGACGCUGAGGCACGAAAGCGUGGGUAUCAAACAGGAUUAGAUACCCCCGUA